GACGAACGCUGGCGGCGUGCUUAACACAUGCAAGUCGAACGGAAAGGCCCUGCUUGCCGGGUACUCGAGUGUCGAACGGGUGAGUAACACGUGGGUGAUCUGCCCUGCACUUCGGGAUAAGCCUGGGAAACUGGGUCUAAUACCGGAUAGGAGCCAUUUUUAGUGUGAUGGUUGGAAAGUUUUUUUCGGUGUAGGAUGAGCUCGCGGCCUAUCAGCUUGUUGGUGGGGUAAUGGCCUACCAAGGCGGCGACGGGUAGCCGGCCUGAGAGGGUGGACGGCCACAUUGGGACUGAGAUACGGCCCAGACUCCUACGGGAGGCAGCAGUGGGGAAUAUUGCACAAUGGGCGCAAGCCUGAUGCAGCGACGCCGCGUGGGGGAUGACGGCCUUCGGGUUGUAAACUCCUUUCGCUAGGGACGAAGCUUUUUGUGACGGUACCUAGAUAAGAAGCACCGGCUAACUACGUG
This 466-nucleotide ribosomal RNA is filed under the name uncultured bacterium. RNAcentral's name for it is "partial 16S ribosomal RNA". It matches the Rfam family "Bacterial small subunit ribosomal RNA", at positions 28 to 507 of the family's 1533-position model. The record is from RNAcentral.